Molecule: long non-coding RNA, 268 nt
Organism: Sinocyclocheilus grahami
Lineage: Eukaryota; Metazoa; Chordata; Actinopteri; Cypriniformes; Cyprinidae
Exons: 2
Source: RefSeq, a predicted model, not a curated record
UGGGGUGAAGAAAUCAACCUAAGUAAGCAUCCGCAGGGAACAGAAGUGAAAGCAAUCACCUACUCAGCUAUGCAAGUACAUGACACAGAAAAACCAGAGAUCUUUGUCAUCAGCGAUAUUUAAAAAACAAAAAUACAUUAGAUAUAAUUUAAUACCUCGUGUUAAUUUACAUCAUUUUAAAAGAUUGUACCUUCUAGUUGGAAUGGAUAUGUGAGAGGUGUCAUUUCUGUAAAUUAUAAAAUGUUUUGUGGAUUGUGGAUGACUGAAA